GCCUGGCUAGCUCAGUUGGUAGAGCCUGAGACUCUUAAUCUCAGGCUCAUGGGUUCAAGCCCCAUGCUGGGCG
Molecule: transfer RNA, 73 nt
Filed under: Pelodiscus sinensis (Chinese soft-shelled turtle)
Lineage: Eukaryota; Metazoa; Chordata; Testudines; Trionychidae
Rfam family: tRNA
About the family: Transfer RNA (tRNA) molecules are approximately 80 nucleotides in length. Their secondary structure includes four short double-helical elements and three loops (D, anti-codon, and T loops).
Source: Rfam by way of RNAcentral